Molecule: long non-coding RNA, 286 nt
Filed under: Pan troglodytes (chimpanzee)
Lineage: Eukaryota; Metazoa; Chordata; Mammalia; Primates; Hominidae
Description: lincRNA
Source: RNAcentral
AUCAUACCACUGCAACUCAGCCAACCAGCACAUCGGACAGUGGGAGGAGGAAUUCUUGGCUAAGAGUACUGAGAGAUGGGGUUUCACCAUGUUAACCAGGAUGGUCUCAAUCUCCUGACCGCGUGAUCCACCUGCCUCAGCCUCCCAAAGUGCUGGGAUUACAGGCGUGAGCCACCAUGCCUGGCCAAAAUUCUGUAUGUCUUUCUAAUCUCACUUCCUAAUGGAGAUAAAAUAGAUCUCAGGCUUAUGUAUUUUUCUAGAACAUUAAAAUCUUGUUUUUUGUGUA